UUCUUCUUCUCAACCACGGAUCUGUGCCCGGCAGUCCCUUGCUUCUACGGGAGUCCAAGGUUGAUUGCUGUGCAGCUCGAUAACCCUACGGAGCCAUCAACUUGUUAUGGUGUCAAUGUCCUAUCGACAGGUCCAAGAAAGACUACCGCUGCGCUGUUCGGUUGUCGAAAGACUACCUGAGCCGCGUGGUUGCCAAAGGCUUUAUAUUCCACCCCUCUUUUCCGAGACCGUCGGUCGGUGAGGUUGAGGCAAACCAUAUCGCCUACAUUC
Molecule: small RNA, 270 nt
Organism: Metarhizium anisopliae BRIP 53293
Lineage: Eukaryota; Fungi; Ascomycota; Sordariomycetes; Hypocreales; Clavicipitaceae
Rfam family: A. fumigatus sRNA Afu_309
Source: Rfam